UUUUUUUUUUUUUCCUUUUUCAGAACUUACAGACUUUCUAAAUAGAUGGAGUUUCUGGGGGAUCACCUGGUUGGAAAGAGAGAUUUGGAGCUGGGUUUCAGAGUACUUUAUCCAAGACAGAUGAGUCUUAAUUGACCAGCCCAGAGAACCAGGGUGGGGAGCUGGAAGUUUGUGGGGGAAAGGGGCCCCCCUCCCAGUCACCCUUGGCUCCAUUUUCAUGGUAUCCUUCUGCACUGUUCCAUUCUGGUUCCACGUGAACCUGCUGCUCUGGAAAAAUGAGUCUGUUGAGAUGGAAAUUUCACUUGUAUUUGACCACUGAGAGUCUGUGGCCUAGAAGGUGCUGGCCUGGAGUGCUGCCAUCAGAGCGGCAGCCUCGUUCUAGAGCAUUCUGCCUGAGCCCAGCAUGGAGCAGAGAGCUGAAAUCAUGAGUCAUUCUACUGUCACUCCUCCAGAGCCUGCAAGGGAGUACUGGGGGGUCAUCCAUGUCUGACAGGCGAGGACAAUGGGGCUCAGUGAGGUUACAUAACUGCCUGAGGGUCACUCUGCUAGAGAGAGGCAGAACUCGGUCCAACAUCAGGUCUGUCAAACCCCAGAGCCCCCGGUCCUGACAACUGUCUGAUCUUCCACUACUUAGAGUCCUUAGAAUGCUUCUGGAUGUCCUUGUGUUGGAGGAAGCCAUUUAAUCCCAUGGAAUGACGCUGUGAGGCAGAGCGCGUCAUGUUAACCCUGGAAGCGGUGACUUGUCUGAGGUUCUGUGGCUACUAUUGUGCAGAAGGUCAGCAUUUCCCCGGAGGCCACUGGCAAUCCUAGUGGCUGCUGGCUAUGGUAGGGGUGGGUGGUUAUGUUGAGGGAGGCCAGGUUGCCCCCUUUUUUUUUUUUGAGUCAGAGUCUCGCUGGAGUGCAGUGGCACAAUCUCAGCUCACUGCAACCUCUGCCUCCCAGGUUCAAGCAAUUCUCCUGCCUCAGCCUCCCAAGUAGCUGGGACUAUAGGAGAGUGCCACUACAGGAGUGUGCCACCACACCUGGCUUUUUUUUUUUUUUUUUUUUUUUGAGACAGAUCUCACUCUGUCACCCAGGCUGGAGUGCAGUGGCAUAGUCUUGGCUCACUGCAACCUCCAUCUCCAGGAUUCAAGUGAUUCUCCUGUCUCAGCCUCCAGAGUAGCUGGGACUACAGGUGUGUGCCACCACGCCUGGUUAAUUUUUUGUAUUUUUAGUAGAGACGGGGUUUCACCAUGUUGGCCAGGCUGGUCUUGAACUCCCGACCUAAAGUGAUCUGCCUGCCUUGGCCUCCCAGAGUGCUAGGAUUACAGGCCUGAGCCACCACGCCUGGCCUUAGGUUGCCCAAUUCUUAGUAAUCUGAGAUGGAAGGGAGGGGGCAGCCCAGAGCCCAAAAAUGAGGGUUCCUCCCCUCGUCUCCCCUACUUUCAUCAUCUGUAGGGUGGUUCUCAAAAUCAUGUCCAUUUUACAGGGCAAAUGGUAGAAGUAACCUGCUCAGUCAGGAUAGAUCAGAUUACAGUCAAAGCCAGACCAGCCACACCCUGAUGCUACUGUCCAGGCC
RNAcentral lists this long non-coding RNA (1558 nucleotides) under Macaca fascicularis (crab-eating macaque). RNAcentral describes it as "lncRNA (ENSMFAG00000054737.1)". Lineage: Eukaryota; Metazoa; Chordata; Mammalia; Primates; Cercopithecidae. The record is from RNAcentral.